UACGUAGGGGGCGAGCGUUGUCCGGAUUCAUUGGGCGUAAAGAGCUCGUAGGCGGCUUGGCAAGUCGGAUGUGAAAACUCCAGGCUCAACCUGGAGCCGCCAUUCGAUACUGCUAUGGCUAGAGUCCGGUAGGGGAGUGUGGAAUUCCCGGUGGAGCGGUGAAAUGCGCAGAUAUCGGGAGGAACACCGAUGGCGAAGGCAGCACUCUGGGCCGGUACUGACGCUGAGGAGCGAAAGCGUGGGGAGCGAACAGG
Molecule: ribosomal RNA, 254 nt
Filed under: uncultured bacterium
Lineage: Bacteria
Description: partial 16S ribosomal RNA
Rfam family: Bacterial small subunit ribosomal RNA
Source: RNAcentral